RNAcentral lists this long non-coding RNA (377 nucleotides) under Triticum aestivum (bread wheat). RNAcentral describes it as "long non-coding RNA (TAES_LNC014088)". Lineage: Eukaryota; Viridiplantae; Streptophyta; Magnoliopsida; Poales; Poaceae. The record is from RNAcentral.
CCGUCUAUCCUUGCAAUCAUGGCUGGUGCGUCCUUUCUCCUGUCUUCACAGAGUUCAUGGAGCACCUAAAUUAAUUGGGAUCAUCUCAUUAACAUACUUGGGGAAUAUCGCCAGGUUCCUUCUUGACCGGCUGUACAAAGUCUGGUGCCAAUUUGUUGGGCUAGAAGCAUACGAAUUACUGGAAGUUAGAAUUGGAAAGGUCCCUUUAUGCAUUUGCAUAUAUUACCAAACAGGAGGUUAUGGAUGAUGAGCAGUUGAGGACCGGUGACAAUCUGUUAGUAUUUGAGAACGAUGAUCCAUGGAUUAUUUUGUUCGUAAAUCUGUUCCACGUACUAAUGAAAUAUUAUUUUUUUGAAUUGCUGGAAGCUUUAUGAAUG